AUACUUACCUGGCAGGGGAGAUACCAUGAUCACGAAGGUGAUUUUUCCAGGGCAAGCCUCUCCAUUGCACUCCAGAUGUGCUGACCCCUGCGAUAUCCUGAAAUGCAGGAAACUUGACUGCAUAAUUUGUGGUAGUGAGGGACUGAAUUCACACUCUCCCUUG
This is a small nuclear RNA of Peromyscus maniculatus bairdii (prairie deer mouse), 163 nucleotides long. Its record names the gene U1. It matches the Rfam family "U1 spliceosomal RNA". Rfam says of the family: U1 is a small nuclear RNA (snRNA) component of the spliceosome (involved in pre-mRNA splicing). Its 5' end forms complementary base pairs with the 5' splice junction, thus defining the 5' donor site of an intron. There are significant differences in sequence and secondary structure between metazoan and yeast U1 snRNAs, the latter being much longer (568 nucleotides as compared to 164 nucleotides in human). NCBI's taxonomy places the organism in Eukaryota, Metazoa, Chordata, Mammalia, Rodentia, Cricetidae. The record is from Ensembl.